This 226-nucleotide ribosomal RNA is filed under the name uncultured bacterium. RNAcentral's name for it is "partial 16S ribosomal RNA". It matches the Rfam family "Bacterial small subunit ribosomal RNA", at positions 15 to 231 of the family's 1533-position model. The record is from RNAcentral.
GAUCAUGGCUCAGGAUGAACGCUAGCUACAGGCUUAACACAUGCAAGUCGAGGGGCAGCAUGGCCUUAGCUUGCUAAGGCCGAUGGCGACCGGCGCACGGGUGAGUAACACGUAUCCAACCUGCCGUCUACUCUUGGACAGCCUUCUGAAAGGAAGAUUAAUACAAGAUGGCAUCAUGAGUCCACAUGUUCACAUGAUUAAAGGGUAUUCCGGUAGACGAUGGGGA